GGCCAAUACCAGGUACCCUACACCAUUGAUUAGUUAAAGAGUGGAAGUGCCAACCUUGUGCAUCAAAGUUCAGUGGGUACUCAACGUACCCAAAGUAAUGCUUACACAAGGGGGCAGGACCUAAUUCUAAGAGUAGUGUGAUUGUGAAGGACUUUGAAGAAGUUGAGUUGAAAAAAAAGUUUUAGAUGUAGGAUAGUUUAAGAAAAAAUAGUAGAGGAGUAAAAAUUUUAACUGAGUUUCAAAAUAAAACUACUUUGAGGCUAGUUUUGAAAAGCAAAAGUCACACAGAAAGGGGCAAAGGUAAAGGGGACAAGCAGCUGACACACAAUACAAUCAGACACACAUAAAAAGGGGAGGGUUCAUGCUUCAAACAGGAUGUCUAGUUCUUAUGGCACCAGACACCAAACAAGAUUAUCCUCAAAAGAGUUUUGAGGUUGUGGCGUAGCCAAGAGGAUGCUAGUAGUAUACAGAAACAAAGGGGAAAAUGCAUUGGGGGUAGGCAAGGGGGUAAUGCACAUGCUAGACUGAUUAAUUAGGCUUACUAGUUAAUACAGAUGCAUGCUAGUUGCAAUAGGAGUAGAAGAACCACAAGUGGAAGCACACAAGGAAGAAAAGAAAGUUCAGCAACAACAGAAGCAUAUUGUUUUUGAGGCUAUAACUUUAAUAGGAUACAUUACCGGUUGGAAAAUAAUAUAAACACAGGGCAGUAGUGAGCAAGGAAGUGAGCAGUAAUAUGCAGAGAGAAGUAGAGAGCAGAGCAGCAGUAUGCAGGAAGUAAGCACUAGUAUGCAUACCCAAAGCAAACAACACAGUAGAAGCCAGCAAAGUGAAUGUGACCAAGAUUUCUCAACUUUGGCUUGCAUCCAGUUGAGUGAUUAACAUUUAACAGGAAAAGUGAGAGGAUAUUGCGUAGAAAUAAAGAGCGCAGAGAUGUUUGUGUGAAAAGAAAGAGAGUUUAGAACAUUGAGUAUAAGUGAUAUGCAAUGUGUUCGUGGUGUCCUGCAAAGAGAAUGGGGGGGGGGUACUUAUAGUACUGAAAGAGAGUACACAAAUAAGGUAUGAGUCCCUUAAUUAAGGGACUGGUAUCAACCACAAUCCAGUCAGUAGUUGGACUUCCCUUUGAUUAAGUGAUCUCAAAUUAAACGGCAAUAAUCA
Molecule: long non-coding RNA, 1155 nt
Filed under: Nicotiana benthamiana
Lineage: Eukaryota; Viridiplantae; Streptophyta; Magnoliopsida; Solanales; Solanaceae
Description: long non-coding RNA (NBEN_LNC005632)
Source: RNAcentral